Molecule: ribosomal RNA, 463 nt
Filed under: uncultured bacterium
Lineage: Bacteria
Description: partial 16S ribosomal RNA
Rfam family: Bacterial small subunit ribosomal RNA
Source: RNAcentral
GAUGAACGCUGACAGAAUGCUUAACGCAUGCAAGUCUUUGGCGAAGCUGUGCUUGCACAGCCUAGCCAAGGCGGACGGGUGAGUAACGCGUAAGGAACUUGCCCUGCAGUCAGGGAUAACAGACGGAAACGACUGAUAAGACCUGGUAAAGUCAGACGGACUCAUGUCCAGCCUGAUGAAAAGAGAUGCUGCAGGAGAGCCUUGCGUCCUAUUAGCUUGUUGGUGGGGUAACGGCCCACCAAGGCGAUGAUAGGUAGCCGGCCUGAGAGGGUGGACGGCCACAAGGGGACUGAGAUACGGCCCUUACUCCUACGGGAGGCAGCAGUGGGGAAUAUUGGACAAUGGGGGCAACCCUGAUCCAGCAAUUCUGUGUGCACGAUGAAGGUUUUCGGAGUGUAAAGUGCUUUCAGCAGGGAAGAAAAAAAUGACGGUACCUGCAGAAGAAGCGACGGCUAAAUACGUG